AGACAGAGGGUGCAAGCGUUGUUCGGAUUUAUUGGGCGUAAAGCGCGCGUAGGCGGUUUUGUAAGUCGGGUGUGAAAGCCCGGGGCUCAACCCCGGAAGUGCAUUCGAAACUGCAUCACUUGAGUCCCGGAGAGGGUGGUGGAAUUCCUGGUGUAGAGGUGAAAUUCGUAGAUAUCAGGAGGAACACCGGUGGCGAAGGCGACCACCUGGACGGUGACUGACGCUGAGGUGCGAAAGCGUGGGGAGCAAACAGGAUUAGAAACCCCGGUAGUCC
Molecule: ribosomal RNA, 274 nt
Filed under: uncultured bacterium
Lineage: Bacteria
Description: partial 16S ribosomal RNA
Rfam family: Bacterial small subunit ribosomal RNA
Source: RNAcentral